UUAUAAUUAAAUAUAAAUAUAUAUAUAUACACAUAUACAUAUAUAUGUAUACUUUUUUUUUAAGAUGGAGUCUCACUCUGUCACCCAGGCUGGAGCACAAUGUCAUGAUCUUGGCUCACUGCAGCCUCCACCUCACGGGUUGAAGCCAUUCUCCUGCCUCAGCCUCCCAAAGUACUGGGAUUACAGGGACUGCAUCCACGGACUCCUUUGCUCUCUGGCUUCUGGUUGGAUUUGACCAGUGAAAUAUAUCACAGGAGACAGAGGAAGGAGGUAAGGUAUGUUGGAGCAUUUGUUGCCUUAGCUUCCUUCUGGCCAUGGGUCAGUUUGUCCCUCUAGAAGGGCUCAGCACCUGCCAGGUGUCUGUCUUCCACUGUUCUUCCAUUAGUGGAUUUAUAACUGCCCCUGUCUCCUCACCACCUUUCAUGUCUAAGGUUGGCCUGGAGUAUUGCAUAUAAUUCCUUAGUCGUUUCUCUAAAAUCUGCCUACACUUUUAUAAACAGUUCCUUUAUUCAACUCUCCUCAAGUCACCCGGUUUGUGUGUGCCAUCUGUUCAAGUAAGUCAAUAACAGUACAUUGUUUUAAUCAUUGUCAUUUUAAACAUGUUUUAACAUCUGGUAGGAAACAUACUCAAGAUUUCCACAACCUCCAAACAUGCUUUGCUAUUUAUUUAUUCUUAGGUUAGAACUACAUUGAAAUCUAAAAUAUAAUGCAUUAAAUUUUAAAAAUUAUAAUAUAAUUAAACCUGAAAUUAGUUAAAAUGUUUUAUUUUCCCAACUGAGGACAUGAAAUGCUUCCCAUUUACUCAUGUUUCCUUCACAUUCUGCUGUGAAAGUUGACAAUCUUCUUAUACAGAUCUGCAUGUUUCCUGUUAUUCCUGGGUCUUGUAGAGGUUCAACAGUGUUUCGUCUAUUGUUAUUUUAUUUUUCUCUGCUAUAAUUUCUAUCUAGCCAUAUCUGGUACCUACAUAAACAGUUCAUUUUCAUAUUUUAAAAGUCCAGCCAUGUUACUAACUUGUGUGUUCAUUCAAACAGGUUACUGAUUCUCUUGGAUAUCCUGGAUAAUCAACUCUCUUUGAUGUCUUAGAUAGGCAAACAUGUCAUCUUUUACCAAUGAUAAUUUUACUUCUCCUCUGUAAUCGCUGAAACUUUUAUGUCUCUUUCAUGUAUUACUGAAUGGUCUAAUUUCUUGAAAGGUUGUGAUAAUGGGCCUUUAGGACCUUGACUUGCACCUGAUUUUAAUUGGAAUGUCUCUAAUUAUUCAACAUUAGUAUGCAGUUGGUUCUUGAUUUUAGAUAUUCUUUAUAAUGUUUAAGAAGUGUCUUUAUAAUUUCCAGUUCACUACACGUUGCUGUUAUAUGUGUUUUCAUUUCCCAUUAAUCUGGAAUGGGUAAUAAUUUCAUUAAAUGACUUCUCAUACUUUUUGAGAUUAUUAGAAAUGUUCCUUCUCUAAUACAUGAAGAUUUAUUAAAAUAAUACAACUAAUUUUAUAACAGCCCUUUAUUUCAGGAAUAAAACCGACAUAGUCGUAGUAUACCAAUCUUUAAAUACAGUUCUGGAUCUUAAUUUCUUGGCAUUUCAUAAAGUUUUUCCCAUUUAUUUUCAAAACUACAGAUGAGAUCUUUGUUCCUUCUGUGCUAUCGUUGUCACAUUUUGGUGAAAUAAAUUUGUGAAAUUUCUGUCUUUUCUCUGCUUUGAAACAACUUCAAUAACAUGAGAAUUAUUCCAUAACACCAUAAAAUAUUUAACAUUGCCUGUUCCUGGAGUCAUUCCAUAUUAUAGGUUUUCUACUAUGUUUUAAAUUACGUGUUUUAUUCAGGUUUUUCAUUCUUCUUGAAACAUGUUUGAUUGUUUAUGUUUUCAUUAAAAAAUUAAUUUUGAGAUAGUGAAAUGUAUUAAUAUAGAGCUUCCAUGACUUAUUCUCAAUUCAAAAAAACUAAAAACUGUAUUUUGAAUUUGUCAGUGCUACUCUUUUUUGCGUAAAUGCAUUAGCUUAUAAUCCCUGUUUGCCCUUUCUUCCUACAAUUUGAUUUUAUUGUUAUUCCUACACAUUAAAAUUUCAUAACGUUCAUCCUUAAUUAACUUAAUUCAUUUUGAUGCUUUCAAUAAUGAAAUUAUUCAUUAUUAUUCAUUUCCCUGUGUGUAUAGCUUUGGUCCCAUUCUCUACCUUCUCUUACAGUUUCUUUAUUUUUACUAGGUUUCUAAUAAACAUAUUGCGGCUUUAAUUUCCACUUAAACAUAGAAAUUGUUUAGAUAGUGCUUUUAAAUAAUUUCUAAUUAGUAUAUCUUUGCUUUCAUUAUUAAAAGUGUUUUUCAACUAUUGUUAUUAAUAUCUAGUGUUACACUAUCGGUAUAAGAGAUAAUAACCUAUAUGAUUUCUUCUUUGUAAAGUUUAAUAAGGAUUUAUUUAUGACUUGCUAACACACCCUAAAUUAUUUUAACUGUUAUUACCUACAAAUAUUAAAGGCAGGCCUUAACAUCUUGUCAUCUUGUGGGGGAGAGGGGUGCGGAUUAAGACACAUAUCAUUUUCAAGCCUAUUUGUUCUCUAUAUGUGGAAGGGAGGCAAAUACUCAAUCCAAGAGUGAUUCUUUUAUAAUGCUAAUCCCAUCCUUCUCCAUCCCUCAUACCCACUCUAUAAGCACCCAUGUGCUGUGGCUGACUAGAGAUGAGUGGUGAAAUUUUACCUUAUCAGGCAAUGACAGAUGACUUUGUUUACAAACUUUGUCUCUUGUCCUCCCCAUUCCUAGGAGAUUUAGUAGGAUAGGUUUUCUCCUGCCAUUCUCUCCAGGUGGGUACACUAGGUGCUCUUUAGAUGUCAAUUAGAUCAAAUUGAAUAAUGGAUGAGAAAAUGUCAGUCAUGUUAACAGUUCAGUACUGCACUAAUAUGGAAAGGCAUUAUUUAAAACUGAAUUUGGUAACAAUAGUAUCUAACUUUGUAAAAAUUCUAAUAUAUUUUUCCAAAUGCUUGGUAAGCCUUUUAAUAAGAACAAUUAUUGCUUCUUACAAUUGCAUAUAUUUGGGGGGGGUUCCAAAGUACUUGUUAAUCUAUUAUUUCAUGCAGCCAUUUUAAAUUAUGGUGGUCUGUAAGGAUUUGCGUCACUUGACAAAUGAAUAUUAAGCAUCAGAUAGAUAAAAUAUUAAGAAGCAAGUAAAUUCUGUGCUUAAUAUCACAAAGAUAACAGAAACAGUAAAAGAAGAUGAGCUCAAUAAUAAUUUCAAUAAUUCAAAUAAUUUCAAUAAUGAAAUUAUUCACUAUUAUUCAUUUCCCUGUUCGUAUAGCUUUGGUCCCGUUCUCUACCUUCUCUUACAGUUUUCAGCUUUUGUAAUCAUCCAUUUGAAAGAGCCCAGGUCCCACCCACAUCCCCAGGACAGUCUGAGCUGGUUGGAUUACGCAUUCCAUGCCCAGUGUAGCCCUAGUUGUUCCACAUUUUACUUUCUACAGGUCUCCCAUAUUUCACUGUAUGUAAUGUUGCUUCCUAUCUCCUCAGCUGGAAUAUGAGCUUCAUUGAUGAUGUCUGUUCUCCCUAGGUAUCUCGACUAGGGUUUCCUGAGAGAAGGAGCCCUGGGGAUGGGUAGAAUGAUUCACAGAGACAGACAUGGCAAGGAAUGAGUGUGUUGAUGGGCAGCCCGGUCACCUAGGUAUAGACCCUUUGAAACCUUGCACAACCAUUCCUUAGACAAUGUAGGCCAAGGGUAUAUGGAGGGCAUUUCAAUCUUUUCUGUCCAAAAAGCAACCCCCAAAUUAGUGGCAUCUAAACAGAAGCCUUUAUUUUUCACUUGUGAGUCAGAUGUGAGUGGCCCUGCUGAUCCAGCUAGGUUUGCUUCUCAUCACCGGUCAGCUGGGGUGAUAGCAAUUCGGCUUGCCUAGACAGCUGGUCUUCAAGCUGUGGGUCCAGCCGGUGUAGAUCUUCAGAUCUGCUCUAAGUGUCUAAUUCUUGGGUGCAGGAUGAAGUGAUUUAGCUACUUGGUGGAGAGCAGAGGAAGAUCUCAUGGCAGUGAUGGAGGGGCAGGAAGGCCAGGCCCAUUGCACAUGCAUAUUUACGUCAUAUCUACCAACAGCCCAUUUGUGAAAACAAAUCACAUGGCCAAGCCUAUAGUCAGAGGGAAAUACACUGUCUUUUUUAGAGCAAACUACAGAUUUACACAGCAAAAGGCAUGGAUACAGGAAAGAGUGAAGGGUUCAAUAAUUCACUCUACCAACAGAAGGAUUUCAAGGCUCAGACCAAAAAACAGAUGCCAAGGACAUGUACAUCACACAGAUAUAUAACAUGUAAAAUAAUAAACUUAACUAUAAUGAAAUGAAGCAAAGGGAAAACUUGCGAAGAGGUGCCUGAGGAGGUGAGGAGAAUAGGUCAUUAUUCUUUAUGUAAAAAGUGUCUGAGCUGAAUUUGAAUUGAAUGAGGACAUUCUAACCUCAUAUGCUAUGUUCUAGCAAUCUUGAAAUACUUGCAACGUUGCUGAUGCAUGGUGCUCUCUGACUCUUUAUGCCUUCAAACACACUGCUAUCUCUUAAAGUAUUCUGUCAUCAUUCAAUCCCUAUGUAUCCAGUUAAUUGGCUAAUUAACUUUAUCUUCCAGAUGGCCUCCUACAGGAAGUCCUCCCUAGCUUUUUAAAUCACUCUAGGUACCCCCAUUCUCUAUACACCUCUAGCAUCCUGUAAAUAUCCUAGGACCCUAUUCGCUAAUUAUCUGUGUACAUAAUCAAGACCGUGGUUUUAUUAAUGGCAGGGAUCAGGUCUUAAUUUUCUCUCUAUUCCUAGGGCUUACAGCAGUAGUGCACAGUAGACAAACAAUUAUUGGCUGAAUAAGUAAAUAUCUGAAAGGCUUUCAGCAUGAACUUAUGGAAUCAAAAGAGGCUAAAGGAAAAUGUAGAAGGAGAAGUUUACAAGUUAUUUUUUGGUACAGGUUUUUUAAGUCUGUUUCUAUUACUGAAUAAAAAUAUUCUGACUGAAUACAAAGUUGGAACUGUUUUAUAUUAAACAACAGGGCUCUAGUUCUAGUCUGGUGUAAACUAACUGACUGAUUACUGGCAUGUUUGGGAGUUAAUUCAUUGUUCUGGGUCCUACUUUUUUCAUGUAUUUUAUGAGAGGGCUGUACCAGAUCAUCUCUAAAUUCUAAAACUCCGUCUCUUAACAUUUUUAUUUCUAAACUUAUUUACUUUGUUUAUAGUUGAAGAGACUACAGCAUGGGGCAAGUAGCUAUAGAAGUAGCUGAGGAGGGUUUACAAGAGAAAAUACAAGUUUGAAUUAAAAUGACUACAUUCAAAGUGAGAAAAAUAUCUAAUACUCUUGCAUAGAAUGAGAACAAACUUGGAUUGCCUAUUGGACUACUACUAAACUACUCAAUCAACUGCAAUAUAUUAUAAUUUUCCUAAUUAGAUAAGAAAUUAUUUACCUUAGUAGUCUUUUUUUGUGAUUUUUACCUCUUCUAAUAUCUAUUUUAAUCCAAAUGCCCACUGUAUGCAGUUGCAUAUUAACUAAGAUGUAUAGAGAAAUAUAUUAUCUGAUGAAUGUAAACCCAGGUACACAGAAGGUCACUGAGGGAAAGGCACAACCAACCAUGAGAAGAGAGAAUGAUUAAUGCCAUUGAGGAAGAGUGAACGAGGCACUGUGGUCUCAGAAGCGUGCUUAUGUUGUUCAAGGAACCAGAGAAGGUUUUCUUGAGCUGAAACUUCAAAGGGAGUAGGAACUGGAAGGUGAAUGUCUGAGCUACCUGUUGUUCAUAUCUAACUACCCUCCCAGUUAUAAAAUGUCACAGCUGCCUAAAAUGGGUUAUUGGACUAUGUGGGAAAUCACUAAUAUAGCAAUCUCGAUAGACUUGCAAAGCUUUCUCCCUUAAACCAUAUUUCAAUGAAAACUAGGAGCUGAUGAGAUAUUCUACUUGGGAAUAGGCUCAUCCCAUCUGGUUCUGAAUCCAUUGAAAAACAUAUACAGUACAGGAUUCAGGAUGAAGAUAUCAGCUUGAUCUCAGGUAAAAAUGGACUAGAGAAGUUGGUUAGGCCUAGAAGCCAAGAUGGGUUUUGUAGUGUAUCCCCUCUGCCAACUCCUUCCCCACUCCACCCUUACAGUUGAUUUUACUUGCUUAGUCACAUACAGAGUUUCAGGAGAAUCUAGGGCACCCCAUCCCAUGGCAGAGCUUUUCCUGGUCAUUUAUCACAUGGAAGAGAAGUUGGAGACACACAUACCCCGCAAGCAAGAGAGAGUGGAGGAGAAGGGGCCAUGCAUCUGUAAGGCACUGUCCCCAAAUUCUGUUAAUCAGGUAGGUCUCUUCUCCUCUCAGGCAGAGAGAGUCAGUUGGAGAAAAUGGUAGGUAUUGUCUCCUCUAGGAUUCCAAAAAUGGUGGAUGCUUUCACAUGAGCCAGGUGGGCAUACGGGAGAGAAAGAGCAUGAAAAUGAUUUCCUAUCAUCCAUCUCCUCACUCCCAUCCAAAGUAAGGACUGCCUUAGCAAUUUCUGGAUGGUCCCCCACAAAGGCAUAGAUUUCAUAAAAGAGACUUUCAGAAUGUAAUGAGUUGAGUUGGGGAGCUGGUGAUGUUGGGAAAAGAGAGCACAAAAUCCUUUGUGAAGGCCCCUCACAAAAAUUUUCCCAGUUGGGCAUAACAUCCUCUGUAAUCCUAGCCCUAACCUAUACCUGCCUACCUACCAAGUAUCUAGGAGAUGUUUCAAAAUUUCAAAGGUAAAGACCAAACAUGAAGGAACAUUAAAAAAUUACAAAAUAUUUAUUCUGUGACAAAGUAAUAAAUGCACAUUUCCAUGAAGAUUAAAUCUAGAACCAAAGUAAACUAUCAGCACAACCUCAUGAGGAGUUCUAACUUUCUCAUAUUGGCUAAUCCCUUUUAAUCAACCUACUGGAGUGACAUGCCAAAGGGACUUAAGCUAAGGCCUAGGUUUCCUGUGUCUGGGUUUUGUAUGUGUUAUGCCCUUUUGACCCUAUUUUUUUGGAGUAAAGUAUAUUCACUGGAAGGGUAGUGACAUAGAAAGAUCACAAAAGCGUUGUCAGGAAUCCUGGGUUGUAAUCUCACUUGUGUAAUUUAAUACCUGUGUGACCUUGGGCAAGACAUUCAAUUUCCAUUUGCAUUUAAGUGCUAUCAUCUGUAAAAUGAGGUACUUGAAAAUGUCAAAAAUUCCUUUCUAAUUUUAAUUUUAUGUAUUACAUUUAAGUCUAUGAAAAGUCAAUAAAAUAUAAAAAUUUCAUCAUUUGUUAUGUGUAGUGAGCUCUGUUAAGAUACUUACAUAAUGUCAUUUAAUCUUCCCAACAAUGCUAUGCGGUAAGAAUAAUUAUCCCCAUUUUACAGAUGAGUAAACUUGAGCUCUGAAGCAUUAAGUGAUUUGCUCAGGGUAAGAGGGAAGGCUGGGAUGAAAACCUAUGGCUUAUUCCAAAGCUCACUUCAUUUACCAUGUACUCCUCUAAAAAUAGUAUUUGCAAACUGUCAACUUUUCAAAACCUUUCCCUGUACCUGAGUUCCUGAGGUUCCCGUGACCAUCUGUUUUUAGCCCCAUUUUUCAGAUGAGCAAACUGUGGUUUCCAGAAGCUGAGUUGCCCAAAGUCAGAAACAUCAUUCGAAUCAGAGCUGAAACUUCUCCCAGAUGGCCCUAGGGCUGAGCGCUGGAAGGCUGCUUAUUUUCUCUGAGGCAGACCACACUUGGCCACUUCUCCCAGAGCCAGUUGUUCUUCAAAGAAACCCCAAUCACUGGGGCAGGCACCCGGCAGCUACUCUGACUCAGGCAGACAAUUCCAUUCAUUUCCUGGGUUGGAGCAUUCUGAAAUAACUCUUUUUCUUCAACACAGUCCUAUCUUCAUGAGGCAGUAUUUGUUGCCUCUUUGAUUAAAUCCAUUAGCUAUUCAGCCACAGCUGCCCUUCGAAAAGCAGCACGCCUCUAAAAGCCGCACAUUCAGCAGCUAAAUGAUUCUGAGCCAAACCAGGGAGAUCUAACCCAUCCAGCCAACAGUGAGGAAUGUGAGCAAAACACACAACAUCAGAGUUGGAACGGGACUUUGAAAUCGUGAAAAGUACAAAUCCCUCAUUUUACAGAUGGGGAACCUGAACCCAGAAUCAAGAAGAGACAGCUCAAAUCCAGGAAAUGAUGGAGCCAGGGUCAGAAAUUAGUGCUUUUUUUUUUCCUUUUCUUUUCUUUUCUUUUUUUUUUUUUUUUUUUUUGAGAUGGAGUCUCACUCUGUCACCAGGCUGGAGUGCAGUGGUGCGAUCUCAGCUUAUUGCAAACUCAGCCUCCUGGGUUCAAGCAAUUCUCCUGCCUCAACCUCCCGAGUAGCUGGGAUUACAGGUGCAUGCCACCAUGCCUGGCUAAUUUUUUCUAUUUUAGUAGAGACGUGGUUUCACCGUGUUGCCCAGGCUGGUCUCGAACUCCUGAGCUCAGGCAAUCCACCUGCCUUGGCCUCCCUAAGUGCUAGGAUUACAGGCAUGAACCACCACACCUGGCUGGUUUUCUUUUCUAUUCAAUUAGGGGGAUCUCAACAACACAAGACAGAAUUCUAUUAUGAUGUGGAAUGAGAGCAAUCUAGGACUCAGGCUGACAGAGCAGCUCUCUCUGCAACAUCGCUGGUCAUUAUGGGUUGAAUUGUGUCUCCCUAAAAAGAUGAUAAAGUACUGUCCCUCAGUACCUGUGAAUGUGAUCUUAUUUGGAAAUAGAAUAUUUAGUUGAUCAGGUGAAGAUGAGGUCAUUAGGGUGAACCUCUAACUGAAUUUGACCAUUGCCCUAAUAAGAAGGAGAAAUUCAGACAUAAAGACAGAUAUGGGCACAGGGAGGACAUCUUGUGAAGAUGAAGGCAGAGAUUAGGAUGAUGCUUCUGCAAGCCAGGAAAUGCCAAAGAUUGUCAGCAAACCACCAGAAGUUAUGGAAGAAUCAUGGAACAUUCUCUCUCACAGCCUUAAGAAAAAAGAAAAAAACCUGCAAACACCUUGAAUUUUGAUUUGUAGCCCCCAGAAGUAUGAAACAAUAAAUUUCUCUUGUUUAAGCCACCCAGUGUGUGGUGCUUUGUUAGGCAACCCCAACAAACUGAUACACUGGCUUUGUUGCAGAGAGAUGCAAGAGAGAAAGAGAUGUUGCAGCAGCUGCAAAACAGAGAUACAAAGCAGGUGCUGCCUUCCAAAGCUUCUGCUCAUACUCCACUGGACAAAGCACAUCACACAGC
This 9145-nucleotide long non-coding RNA is filed under the name Homo sapiens (human). RNAcentral describes it as "HSALNT0300702". The record is from RNAcentral. Lineage: Eukaryota; Metazoa; Chordata; Mammalia; Primates; Hominidae.